Molecule: ribosomal RNA, 530 nt
Filed under: Helvella crispa
Lineage: Eukaryota; Fungi; Ascomycota; Pezizomycetes; Pezizales; Helvellaceae
Description: eukaryotic LSU rRNA
Rfam family: Eukaryotic large subunit ribosomal RNA
Source: RNAcentral
CCAACAGGGAUUGCCCCAGUAACGGCGAGUGAAGCGGCAGGAGCUCAAAUUUGAAAUCUGGGGCCCCCGGCCUCCGAGUUGUAAUUUGGAGAGGCUCCUUCUGGGGGGAGCGCCGGCCCAUGUUCCUUGGAACAGGACGUCGCAGAGGGUGAGAAUCCCGUGCCAGGCCGGCUGCCUCCUCCCGCGUGAAGGGCCUUCGACGAGUCGAGUUGUUUGGGAAUGCAGCUCCAAGUGGGUGGUAAAUUUCAUCUAAAGCUAAAUACCGGCGGGAGACCGAUAGCGCACAAGUAGAGUGAUCGAAAGAUGAAAAGCACUUUGAAAAUAGAGUCAAAAAGUACGUGAAAUUGUUGAAAGGGAAGCGCUUGAGACCAGACUCAGACCCAGGCAAACACCGCGCCCCCAGGGGCCGUGCAAUUGCCCGGUGCUGGGCCAGCAUCAGUUGGCGUGGCGGGACAAGGGCGCGGGAAAUGUGGCUCCCCUCGGGGAGUGUUAUCAGGCCCGCGCCGGAUGCCGCCGACGCCGACUGAGGA